This 253-nucleotide ribosomal RNA is filed under the name uncultured bacterium. RNAcentral's name for it is "partial 16S ribosomal RNA". It matches the Rfam family "Bacterial small subunit ribosomal RNA", at positions 524 to 776 of the family's 1533-position model. The record is from RNAcentral.
UACAGAGGGGGCAAGCGUUGUUCGGAAUUACUGGGCGUAAAGGGCGCGUAGGCGGCCUGUUAAGUCGAACGUGAAAUCCCCGGGCUCAACCCGGGAACUGCGUCCGAUACUGGCAGGCUUGAAUUCGGGAGAGGGAUGUGGAAUUCCAGGUGUAGCGGUGAAAUGCGUAGAUAUCUGGAGGAACACCGGUGGCGAAGGCGGCGUUCUGGACUGCAACUGACACUGAGGAACGAAAGCCAGGGGAGCAAACGGG